GCCCUGUAGCUGCAGCCCUGUAGCUGCAGCCCUGUAGGUGCAGCCCUGUAGGUGCAGCCUCUGGCUCUGCAGACACAUACUAUUAGAGCAUCUGUUCCUGCAGAUCUUUGACUCUCCAUCAGAGAUCCACGAGAGGGAGCAGCUCACUGUGGAUGUUUUUCCAGCUCAGAUGUGUGUUUGAAGGCUGACUGUGUGUUUUGUCUUCCUUGUCGUCUUCCUGCUGUUUUGUCAGCCUCCACUACUCCAGGUGUGGGAGGGGAACCUGUAUUCGCUCUGAUUGCUCCAGUGGCUGCUAUUUUUGGAAGCACUCUGUCUUUUAUCUCCCCUCUUUUUGUCUCUCACGUUUUUCUUCGGUGCUGCAAAGCGACACUAACCGGAAUCAGCUAUAGAAGAAAGGCAGAGAUAAUUCGUGAUCGAAGUCGCUGCUCUUUUCAUCAAAUCGAGGCUGGAAACCUCCUGGAUGAAUCGAAUGGAUUGUCUUUUGUAUUUCUGGUGCCUGUUGCGUCUAAAAGGUCUGACAACAGCAGAGGAAAGAGCAUUUUGUUCUUGAAUUAGGUCACCAUGAAGAUGGUCGCUGUUGUUCGGAUCUUCAUCAGUCUGCUGCUGAUUUCACACUUCAGCAGAGGCCAGAAGCCCAGUGAUGACUCCGUCCACAGCUCCCACAUGGUGCUGUUCAGCACUCAGUCCCUCGCCAGCCUCCUGUUGCUGGUUCUGACUGCUGUCCUGUCCGGUGGCGUCUACCUGUGGAUCCUCAGAUACGUCUGCAUCGGCUGCUGCCAGCCCGUCCCGGUCGGCAUCGAGUCCGAAGCUCUGACUGGGGUGGUGUGAAGUCGCUAGAGUCCGUCUGACCGAGUUAAAGUCAGGCGGACGUUGAACUUUGUUUACAGGCGAAUCUACAAACUUGUGACCUGGCUUUGUCCACUGCAGAGCUCGGACUUUCAUAUCAGAAACGAUGUUCCUGUCAGGCUGAAAUGAGCGACGUCAUGUUUGCUGAAUAGAAGAUGAAUUUAUUUUCCGGUUAGUAACUGGUACUCACAAAGUGGUAACUUUUGCCCCCUUUGGCUGUGCAGAUCCCACGUUAUUUAGCCUGGAGUUAAUGUUUUGCUUUGUUUUUUCAGUGCUGGAAAAGAACCAAGUUAAUAAAUACAGAAAAAUGUCCGUAUGUUGUUGAUGAGCUGAAGACAGACACAACUAUACAGGUUGUUUCAACAGAAAGUCUGCGUUUGGUCACCAUGAACACCGGUAACAACUAGCUUCUGUGUCAACUAAUGAGUUUUUAAUACAUAAGCUCCAAGUAAACACAUCAGUAAACCCAUUAUCACAUGUACAACACCAGUGAGAAGUUUGGACACACGUUCUCUUUCAAUGGUUAUUAUUGAUUUUAGUUGUUUUAUACAUUUCAGAUUAAUACUGAAUACAAAUAGUACAAUAUUCAUCAAAUAUAUCAUCAGCGGCUAAAGUUUUCUGUUGGUAGAGACCAAAACGGAGUGAAAAGGAGAAUAAAUACUGAAGUAGCUUGACUCUAAUUAGUGUUAACAUUGAAGUCAGUUUGCUGGAUGAGUAAUAAGGCAGCUUUUUGCUAAGACAUGGCCAAAAAUUUGGACACAAAAUGCAUUGUAGACUAAUACUGAAGACUUCAAAACUAUGACAGAACACAAGUAGCAUUUAUGUUUUAGAUUCUCUGAUUCCUACUUUGCACACUCUUGGCAUUCUCUCCAUAAGCUUCAUGAGGUAGUCUCCUGAAAUGGUUUCACUUCACAGAUGUUCCUUGUCAAGGUUCAUUUGUGGAAUUUCUUUCCUUCUUAAUGGGGUUGGAACCAUCAGUUGUGUUGAGCAGAAGUCAGGUUGGUCCACAGUUGACAGUCCUAUUUGACAACUGCUAGAAUCCAUAUUAUGGCAAGAACCAAUCAGCUGAGUAAAGAGAAACAGUCCAUCAUUACUUUAAGAACUGAAGGUCAGUCAGUCUGAAAAAUUGCAAAAACUUUGAAUGUAUCCCCAAGUGCAGUUGCAAAAACCAUCAAGCGCUACGAUGAAACAAGCUCACAUGAGGACCUUCCCAGGAAAGGAAGACCAAGAGUCUCC
Long non-coding RNA from Amphiprion ocellaris (clown anemonefish), 2082 nucleotides. The record is from Ensembl. NCBI's taxonomy places the organism in Eukaryota, Metazoa, Chordata, Actinopteri, Pomacentridae.